Molecule: transfer RNA, 88 nt
Filed under: Acidimicrobiaceae bacterium
Lineage: Bacteria; Bacillati; Actinomycetota; Acidimicrobiia; Acidimicrobiales; Acidimicrobiaceae
Also listed under: 3 other names
Description: tRNA-Ser
Rfam family: tRNA
About the family: Transfer RNA (tRNA) molecules are approximately 80 nucleotides in length.
Source: RNAcentral
GGAGGGAUGGCAGAGCGGACGAUUGCGACGGUCUUGAAAACCGUUGAGCCUCACGGCUUCGGGGGUUCGAAUCCCCCUCCCUCCGCCA